GUGUAGUGCAUGUCUUCAAAGUGAAACAUGUGGUUGGUGUCAGUUAGACUUUACAUGUACUGGACAGAACUCAUCAUGUACUACUGGUGAAUGGUUCAAUACAAAAGAUGGUGGUAGAGCUAGUAGUUUCUGUCCCUUCUUAGAGCCUAAUUCUGUUACAUCUGAUGGUAGAUAUACUCAAGCAGCUAAUGUUGUUAAGGAUUUAACAUUAUCAACUAGUAAUACUGGGUCUUCACCUGGUCUCACUUAUGAGUGUGUAUAUGGUACUGAUACUAGAACUGCUACUGUUAGCAGUGACAAUAGAGUGACAUGUAUUAAUAUU
RNAcentral lists this long non-coding RNA (322 nucleotides) under Amphimedon queenslandica. RNAcentral describes it as "uncharacterized LOC109582485". Lineage: Eukaryota; Metazoa; Porifera; Demospongiae; Haplosclerida; Niphatidae. The record is from RNAcentral.